GUUAGCAGGGCUUGGAAGCAAUGGAAUCCCGGAAGUAUGGAACACACACAUCACCCAGAUCCUGACUUCUAAUACCAGUCUAUAAAGAAAGGAACGAGAGCUCCUGGCAGAUACUGUGGAUUCUAGCGCUGAGCAGGGCAUAAGGAGAAGAGCCUGGCGUGUCUCAUAGUGCCAGAAUGAAAUGUCUGUGCAUUGCCUCUUGUUGAGGGCACCCAAAACUACAUCGAACCAGCAGAGGGAAGAUGUCAGGGAAAGGCCGGGUCCUGGUGGAGGAUGAGGAACAGAGCUGGGCCCAGUGAGGCGAAGGGUGUCACUGAGGUCAUUCAACUACAAAAUGCCAGAGCAGGAGUGGAGGCCAGGUCCCCAGGCUCCAAUUCAUGACCUCAAGGUGAAAAGAUCUCCCGAGAUAGAUAACAGUUCUCAUUUAAGUAAGAAUUAAAAAUAAAACUUCUCAGUGCUCUGAGACUAUGUUUCCACUAGGCAGUUUAUUGUACCCUGUAGAUCUGCAAACACUUCCAAAGAUGCCUAAACAAAGGCUGUGGUCAUCAUUCCGUUGGCUGGGCUGACUUGCUUUCUCCUUCUCCAAACUCUCCUUUUCCCCAAACCUCUUCACCCCACCCACCCACUAAUUGUCCUCCCAAGUCCUUUUUGAGCUUGGUCCCAGUCUCAUGCUCUCUCCCCAGUCACCAAUCCAAGAUGACUCUGGAGUUCACAGCCUCAGCUGGCUGUGCCUGGACAGAGCCUGGGAUGCCUGACGAACCAGCAGGACCAAGGAGUGGGAUUCUGAUCUGUGGGGAUCCAGGAGAGUCGCCUCUGAUCUCUAAGGGGACACUGCUUUCCAAACAGAGGCAAGUCACAGAGAUCUCUCCGAAGCUAUCGGGCUCGCCCUUGGGGUCUGCUUAGAGGGAGGCUAAGGUUUUAUAGGGGGUUGAUUGGUCACUGAACACCUCUGAUGUCUCUCUCUAUUCCUGCAACCACCCUAGUAAUGACAGAAGAGCAUGGAGGUACUGUUUUUGAACAGUUACUGUGUGUCACCCACUGGGUUGUUUGGUUUUAUUUAUUAUUUCCAACUCUCACAACAGCCUCAUGAGACAAUGGUGUUCAGAGACAUUAAGUAGCUGGCCCCAGUCUCACAGCCUGCAAGAUUUGGAGCCAGGACUGGAAUAUGAGAGCAAAGCUCUGGCUCCUUCCACAGUCAAGCUCCCCCUCAUCUGCAAACUGAAAAGCACAUUGUUCAACUCUUAACACACUCUCUAGGAGCAUUUUUGGUUCCAUGUCCAUCCUGGAGGUUUUCUCUAGAAAUAGUGGUUCUAGAUAACAUUCCAAUGUCUUGUGAUUGCUCAAUAUCCAAGCCAUAAAGAACAAGGGUGAACCAUGCAUGUUUCCCUCAAUUACGUCAUAAUUUUAUGAUGACCUGGGGUCAAGAGAAUGAUGGGAGGAGCUGAGGCUACAGGGACUCACAGAUCCUCUUGGUCUGUUCUCAGAAGAGGAGCAGGCUAUCAGGAAGGCUGUUGGCUGCUGAGGACCAACCAUGGUAAUUAAGUUUGUUCUGAGCCUGUGUGUCGGGCAAUGUGCUGGAUGCUUUCCUAGCAUGAGCUCAUUGAAGCAUCACAGAACCCCUACUGCUGUGAUCCCCAUUUUCAAGCAAGGAUAGGAGGCCUAGGGAGUCUAAAACUCCCCUGAGUUAAGAGAGCUACCGAGUAUCAGAGCCAGGAUUCAGAUGCAGGCCUGUCUGACAUCACAGCCUGUGCAUGUGAUCCCUGCAGUAGACUCCAGUGACUUCCCUUAAAG
Macaca mulatta (Rhesus monkey) is the source of this 1791-nucleotide non-coding RNA. The record is from RefSeq and is a predicted model, not a curated record. Lineage: Eukaryota; Metazoa; Chordata; Mammalia; Primates; Cercopithecidae.